RNAcentral lists this ribosomal RNA (87 nucleotides) under Paenibacillus amylolyticus. The record is from RNAcentral. RNAcentral also lists the same sequence under 1 other name. Lineage: Bacteria; Bacillati; Bacillota; Bacilli; Caryophanales; Paenibacillaceae.
GUACCCAUCCCGAACACGACCGUUAAGCCCUCUAGCGCCGAUGGUACUUGGACCGCAGGGUCCUGGGAGAGUAGGACGCCGCCAAGC